UCAGGAACACAGGGGCGACAAAGGGCUCCCCACCAAACCCUAGUUCUUGUCAAAAUUGAUCAAAUUGGAAGUCCUAAUCUGUUCCAAAUCAAUUUCCAAGCACAAAAUAGUGAUCCCCUUUGAGAAAGGAUCAUAAGGCAAGAAAAUCGGAACGUCAAGUGGACAAGCUAGUGGUGAUACGCGUUUGAAGGGAACGCUUUGAAGGUGAAUGUCGAGAGUCCCGGAUGAAGAUCAAGCGUCGAGCAAGAACCGAACACACGUUAAAUGAAGCUUCCGCAAGUUGUUUCGUCGUUAUUCUAAAACGAUGAAUUGAAUUACAAUAUGUUGUUUUGCUUUCAAAGUUUAGAAAAGUUUUA
Molecule: long non-coding RNA, 356 nt
Organism: Helianthus annuus (common sunflower)
Lineage: Eukaryota; Viridiplantae; Streptophyta; Magnoliopsida; Asterales; Asteraceae
Exons: 3
Source: RefSeq, a predicted model, not a curated record